This 253-nucleotide ribosomal RNA is filed under the name uncultured bacterium. RNAcentral's name for it is "partial 16S ribosomal RNA". It matches the Rfam family "Bacterial small subunit ribosomal RNA", at positions 524 to 776 of the family's 1533-position model. The record is from RNAcentral.
UACGUAGGGUGCAAGCGUUAUCCGGAUUCACUGGGUUUAAAGGGCGCGUAGGUGGGUAAGUAAGUCAGUGGUGAAAUCUCCGGGCUUAACCCGGAAACUGCCAUUGAUACUAUUUGUCUUGAAUACUGUGGAGGUCAGCGGAAUAUGUCAUGUAGCGGUGAAAUGCUUAGAUAUGACAUAGAACACCAAUUGCGAAGGCAGCUGGCUACACAAAUAUUGACACUGAGGCACGAAAGCGUGGGGAUCAAACAGG